GUUCCGCCCGGACGGCGUUUCCACGGACGCCCAGGAGACAACCCGUUGCUGAGCCGGGAGCGCUGACUGGCCCGGCUGGACAGGGAUGAAAUUGAUUCUGCAGUAAAGAUGUUGGUGUCAUUAAAAAUGAGCUACAAAGCUGCCGCGGGGGAGGAUUACAAGGCUGACUGUCCUCCAGGGAACCCAGCACCUACCAGUAAUCAUGGCCCAGAUGCCACAGAAGCUGAAGAGGAUUUUGUGGACCCAUGGACAGUACAGACAAGCAGUGCAAAAGGCAUAGACUACGAUAAGCUCAUUGUUCGGUUUGGAAGUAGUAAAAUUGACAAAGAGCUAAUAAACCGAAUAGAGAGAGCCACCGGCCAAAGACCACACCACUUCCUGCGCAGAGGCAUCUUCUUCUCACACAGAGAUAUGAAUCAGGUUCUUGAUGCCUAUGAAAAUAAGAAGCCAUUUUAUCUGUACACGGGCCGGGGCCCCUCUUCUGAAGCAAUGCAUGUAGGUCACCUCAUUCCAUUUAUUUUCACAAAGUAAGUAUUGGAUCUUAUGGCUUUUCUUACUCUCUUAGUGAAUUGA
Molecule: small RNA, 573 nt
Filed under: Pan troglodytes (chimpanzee)
Lineage: Eukaryota; Metazoa; Chordata; Mammalia; Primates; Hominidae
Description: retained intron
Source: RNAcentral